AUCGCUUCUCGGCCUUUUGGCUAAGAUCAAGUGUAAACAUUAGCAUGCUUAUUGUUAACUAUACUUGCAUGUUUUCAACUGUUUCUAAACUGCAACAAGAGAUUUUAAUUUCUUCUAGUUUCCUUCAAAUUUGCUUUCAUUAUCCACAUGUGGAUAAACAUAU
RNAcentral lists this small nuclear RNA (163 nucleotides) under Cervus hanglu yarkandensis (Yarkand deer). RNAcentral describes it as "U2 spliceosomal RNA (ENSCHYG00000020366.1)". It matches the Rfam family "U2 spliceosomal RNA". Rfam says of the family: U2 is a small nuclear RNA (snRNA) component of the spliceosome (involved in pre-mRNA splicing). Lineage: Eukaryota; Metazoa; Chordata; Mammalia; Artiodactyla; Cervidae. The record is from Rfam by way of RNAcentral.